GCUGAAAUAGCUCAGCUGGGAAGAGAACGUUAAGACUGAAGAUCUAAAGUUUCCUGGUUCGAUCCCGGGUUUCGGCA
Molecule: transfer RNA, 77 nt
Filed under: Felis catus (domestic cat)
Lineage: Eukaryota; Metazoa; Chordata; Mammalia; Carnivora; Felidae
Description: tRNA-Phe (GAA) (tRNA-Phe-GAA-9-1)
Rfam family: tRNA
About the family: Transfer RNA (tRNA) molecules are approximately 80 nucleotides in length.
Source: RNAcentral